AGCUUUGUGCUAGUGGCAGUAUCUAGCCAGUGAGGCUUGUUUGAGGCACGAUUAUUGCUAGUUGAAAACUGUGUAGCCCUCACUCUC
Molecule: small nuclear RNA, 87 nt
Organism: Fukomys damarensis (Damara mole-rat)
Lineage: Eukaryota; Metazoa; Chordata; Mammalia; Rodentia; Bathyergidae
Gene: U4
Rfam family: U4 spliceosomal RNA
About the family: U4 small nuclear RNA (U4 snRNA) is a component of the major U2-dependent spliceosome. The structure of U4 snRNA from yeast and human has been reported. U4 snRNA presents a k-turn RNA motif in the 5p-SL related to recognition of Snu13 protein.
Source: Ensembl